RNAcentral lists this transfer RNA (88 nucleotides) under Candidatus Dormiibacterota bacterium. RNAcentral describes it as "tRNA-Leu". It matches the Rfam family "tRNA". From Rfam's summary of the family: Transfer RNA (tRNA) molecules are approximately 80 nucleotides in length. Lineage: Bacteria; Bacillati; Candidatus Dormiibacterota. The record is from RNAcentral.
GCCGGGAUGGUGUAAUCAGGCAGCCACGGCGGCCUCAAAAUCCGCUGCCCGAGAGGGCGUGGGGGUUCGAGUCCCCCUCCCGGCACCA